AUCGACGAUCAUGACUAUGAUACGAAGAUGAAGAAGGUCCAUGACUUCAUUGGCGAAGGCGACAAGGUGAAGAUCACCCUGCGUUUCCGCGGCCGCGAACUCAGCCACCAGCAACUGGGCAUGAACCUGCUCCAGCGCGUGGCCGAAAACGUCCAGGAAAUCGCCAAGGUCGAAGCCUAUCCCCGCAUGGAAGGCCGCCAGAUGCUUAUGGUGCUCGCGCCGAAAUAAGGCUGCGACAUCGGAUGAAUUUUCGAAAAGGGCGGCGCCAUCAGGCGCCGCCCUUUUUCUUUUCCCGGCCAGUGCGGGACCGA
RNAcentral lists this unclassified non-coding RNA (311 nucleotides) under Sphingobium sp. YR768. RNAcentral describes it as "Long range pseudoknot". The record is from RNAcentral. Lineage: Bacteria; Pseudomonadati; Pseudomonadota; Alphaproteobacteria; Sphingomonadales; Sphingobiaceae.